CAAAAUACCUGGCAGGGGAAAUAAUGUGAUCACAAACGUGGUUUUCCCAUUUCCGCUGGAUGUACUGACCAUGUGUGGGAAACUUGACUGCAUAAUUUAUGGGGGGGACUGUGUUUGCACUUUCCCCUA
This 129-nucleotide small nuclear RNA is filed under the name Octodon degus (degu). Its description in RNAcentral is "U1 spliceosomal RNA (ENSODEG00000020566.1)". It matches the Rfam family "U1 spliceosomal RNA". From Rfam's summary of the family: U1 is a small nuclear RNA (snRNA) component of the spliceosome (involved in pre-mRNA splicing). Its 5' end forms complementary base pairs with the 5' splice junction, thus defining the 5' donor site of an intron. The record is from RNAcentral. Lineage: Eukaryota; Metazoa; Chordata; Mammalia; Rodentia; Octodontidae.